Caenorhabditis elegans is the source of this 136-nucleotide non-coding RNA. The record is from Ensembl. NCBI's taxonomy places the organism in Eukaryota, Metazoa, Nematoda, Chromadorea, Rhabditida, Rhabditidae.
AGAAAGAUUGGAAGAAAAAACAUAGAAGAGGCAAAAAGAAUGCGAAAUAGCAGAAGAAGAUUAGCCGGAGACGGACGGACGGACGGGUGGACGAAUGGACAGCCGAACUGAUGAGAAGAGGAAACUCAAACAAUGU